CUCCUAAUAUAUCAUAGACAACUUGUGUGUGUGUGGUAAGUAUUUCUCAUCUAUGAAAAGAAGGGGGAAAAAAAAAAACAUGACAGUCUCUAGAUGGACAGAAAACGGUACCGUAUUGAGACAUCCAUAGGUGAUAAUGAGGAAACACACGAGGGAAGAUAUCGUUGGACUUCAGAUCCAGAACCAAAAGGUCAGCUUCUUUCUUCAUCUUCUUUAUCUCGCUUAGGUUUCCGUACACGAAUUUGUACUUUGGGCCUGAGAUUCCUUGUUUCUUGAAUCUUUUUGAUAGCAUCAAUGGCCGCAAAAGGAUGAUCCAACAAGCUUUCCAUAUCUUGGAAACACCAAAGAGCAGAAGAAUAAGUGCUAAGAGAUUGAUCGUGCUUAUAAG
RNAcentral lists this long non-coding RNA (388 nucleotides) under Arabidopsis lyrata. RNAcentral describes it as "long non-coding RNA (ALYR_LNC000801)". Lineage: Eukaryota; Viridiplantae; Streptophyta; Magnoliopsida; Brassicales; Brassicaceae. The record is from RNAcentral.